RNAcentral lists this ribosomal RNA (660 nucleotides) under Triticum aestivum (bread wheat). Its description in RNAcentral is "partial small subunit ribosomal RNA". The record is from RNAcentral. Lineage: Eukaryota; Viridiplantae; Streptophyta; Magnoliopsida; Poales; Poaceae.
AUGAGGUCACAAGCUGACCCUUUGUUCUCUGAGUAUCUCUUAAGGAUAGGCAAUGGAACCAAAGAAACGAUAGGUGAUGACUAUGUGCGUCUCCCUGAGGACAUUGUGAUCGGUCAUACUGAUGAUGAAACCGCAAUCAAUAGGCUAAUCAAAGAAGUUUUUCCCGCUCUUAGUGCCAAUGCUAAAUCGGGAGAGUACAUGAGCUCGCGUGCUAUUCUUUCCACAAAGAAUGACUAUGUUGAUGUGCUGAAUUCCAAGAUGUUUGACAUGUUUCCUGGCCAAGAGAAGGUAUACCAUAGCUUCGACUCUAUUGAGGAUGACUACUCGAACAAUUACUCGAUUGACUUUGUGAAUUCGCUCACCCCAAAUGGAUUGCCACCACAUGUGUUGAAAGUGAAGGUCAAUUGCCCCGUCAUUCUGCUACGGAACCUCGACCCUCACAAUGGCCUCUGCAAUGGAACAAGGCUAAUGAUUAGAGCCUUCCAAGAUAAUGCAAUUGAUGCAGAGAUUGUUGGUGGGCAACAUGUUGGGAAGAGGGUCUUUAUACCGAGGAUCCCUUUGUCACCAUCGGAGGACAUCUCACUUUCCUUCAAGCUUAAGAGGAAACAAUUCCCCAUCCGCCUAAGUUUUGCGAUGACCAUUAACAAGGCGCAGGGCUAG